UGUGGACGGGAUAAGUGCUGAAAGCAUCUAAGCAUGAAGCCCCCCUCAAGAUGAGAUUUCCCAAUAGAUCCCUCAGAGAUGAUGAGGUAGAUAGGUUCGGCAUGUAAGUCUAGCGAUAGAUGUAGUGGACGAAUACUAAUGGAUCAAAUGACUUAUUCA
This 159-nucleotide ribosomal RNA is filed under the name Aliicoccus persicus. Its description in RNAcentral is "partial 23S rRNA. Bacterial LSU". It matches the Rfam family "Bacterial large subunit ribosomal RNA", at positions 2754 to 2925 of the family's 2925-position model. Lineage: Bacteria; Bacillati; Bacillota; Bacilli; Caryophanales; Staphylococcaceae. The record is from RNAcentral.